GAGCUUGCUUCUCCGGAUGAGUUGCGAACGGGUGAGUAACGCGUAGGUAACCUGCCUGGUAGCGGGGGAUAACUAUUGGAAACGAUAGCUAAUACCGCAUAAGAGUAGAUGUUGCAUGACAUUUGCUUAAAAGGUGCAAUUGCAUCACUACCAGAUGGACCUGCGUUGUAUUAGCUAGUUGGUGGGGUAACGGCUCACCAAGGCGACGAUACAUAGCCGACCUGAGAGGGUGAUCGGCCACACUGGGACUGAGACACGGCCCAGACUCCUACGGGAGGCAGCAGUAGGGAAUCUUCGGCAAUGGACGGAAGUCUGACCGAGCAACGCCGCGUGAGUGAAGAAGGUUUUCGGAUCGUAAAGCUCUGUUGUAGGAGAAGAACGAGUGUGAGAGUGGAAAGUUCACACUGUGACGGUAUCUUACCAGAAAGGGACGGCUAACUACGUGCCAGCAGCCGCGGUAAUACGUAGGUCCCGAGCGUUGUCCGGAUUUAUUGGGCGUAAAGCGAGCGCAGGCGGUUAGAUAAGUCUGAAGUUAAAGGCUGUGGCUUAACCAUAGUACGCUUUGGAAACUGUUUAACUUGAGUGCAAGAGGGGAGAGUGGAAUUCCAUGUGUAGCGGUGAAAUGCGUAGAUAUAUGGAGGAACACCGGCGGCGAAAG
Molecule: ribosomal RNA, 658 nt
Filed under: uncultured Bacilli bacterium
Lineage: Bacteria; Bacillati; Bacillota; Bacilli
Description: bacterial SSU rRNA
Rfam family: Bacterial small subunit ribosomal RNA
Source: RNAcentral